Molecule: long non-coding RNA, 263 nt
Organism: Canis lupus familiaris (dog)
Lineage: Eukaryota; Metazoa; Chordata; Mammalia; Carnivora; Canidae
Exons: 2
Source: RefSeq, a predicted model, not a curated record
CCCGCGCCGACGCUUCCCACCGGCCGGAGGGCAGGGCCCCGCGCGCGGCCGCCGUUCCGCAGCCAACAGCCGUCACCGUGGCCAGGCCGGCGGGCCCCGCGAUGCUGUCUCUCCUGCUGAUGCUCUCAGGUCUGGGCCGGCUGACCUCCGCGGGCCAUCAUCCUGAACCAUCCCUUCUACAAAUUACCGUGCCACGGAAGAUUGGGACAAACAGCAGUGAUGACAAAGUUUCUUGAAUGCGUGCAAAUAAAUCAUGAUUUCUA